Molecule: ribosomal RNA, 534 nt
Filed under: Triticum aestivum (bread wheat)
Lineage: Eukaryota; Viridiplantae; Streptophyta; Magnoliopsida; Poales; Poaceae
Description: partial small subunit ribosomal RNA
Source: RNAcentral
AUGCUUGGUUACGGGAAGGAUUCACACUCCUACAGAGUCUUCAACCUCUUUCACUAUAAAGUGGUUGAAACUGUGGAUGUGCGGUUCGAUGAGACUAACGGCUCGCAAAGAGAGCACCUGCCAAAUGUGCUAGAUGAAGUCCCACCUAGUGAAUCCAUCAAGCUUAUGGGUACUAGAGAAAUCAUACCUUCAGAGGCACAGGCUGAAGAGGAACUUAUCAUUUCUGCACCAAUCAUUUCUGCACCAAAUCAACCUGAAGACUCUGCUCAGCCUGAAGACAAUACUGAAGAUGAAGACAAUGAUCAACAAGAGCAAAGUCUUCGUCCAGUUCAUCCUCGUGUUGCGAAUGAAGUACAAAUUGAGAAGAUAAUUGAUAGUAUCAAUGCACCUGGUCCCCUUACUCGCUUAAGAGCAAUGCAACUGGCAAAUUUCUGUGGGCACUUUGCAUUUGUCUCUAUAUCUGAACCCAAGAAAGUUGCUGAAGCAUUCAUGGAACCUGGGUGGAUUCAAGCUAUGCAAGAAGAGCUUCAAUAG